Molecule: ribosomal RNA, 318 nt
Filed under: uncultured Chloroflexota bacterium
Lineage: Bacteria; Bacillati; Chloroflexota
Description: bacterial SSU rRNA
Rfam family: Bacterial small subunit ribosomal RNA
Source: RNAcentral
GAUGAACGCUGGCGGCGUGCCUAAUACAUGCAAGUCGAACGGUCGGUCGCAAGGCCGAUAGUGGCGAACGGGUGAGUAACGCGUUGGUGACCUGCCCAAUAGUGGGGGAUACCAGGCCGAAAGGCCUGCUAAUACCGCAUGAGCUCGGAGGCGAUUAGAAAUCUUCGAGGAAAGCCGAAAGGCGCUAAUGGAGGGGCCUGCGUCCCAUCAGCUAGUUGGUAGGGUAAAGGCCUACCAAGGCUACGACGGAUAGGGGGCCUGAGAGGGUGGCCCCCCACACUGGCACUGAAACACGGGCCAGACACCUACGGGAGGCUG